UAUUACAAUGAUGGUGAGUUCUGACUCCAUG
This 31-nucleotide non-coding RNA is filed under the name Rattus norvegicus (Norway rat). The record is from RNAcentral. Lineage: Eukaryota; Metazoa; Chordata; Mammalia; Rodentia; Muridae.